RNAcentral lists this long non-coding RNA (1717 nucleotides) under Anas platyrhynchos platyrhynchos (common mallard). RNAcentral describes it as "lncRNA (ENSAPLG00000029263.1)". The record is from RNAcentral. Lineage: Eukaryota; Metazoa; Chordata; Aves; Anseriformes; Anatidae.
AGGACUGGAGGAAAUGACCUCAAGUUGUCAGUUUGAAAUUAGGAGAAAUUUAUUCUCAGAAAUAGCAGUUAGGUAUUGGAACAGAUUGCCCAUGGAAGUGCUGGAGUCACUGUCCCAGAAGGUGUUUAAGGAGAGGUUGAAUCUGGUGCUUAGGGACACAGUUUAGUGGGUGAUAGUGGUGUUAGGGGGAUAAUUCCACCAGAUGAUCUUGAAGGUCUUUUCCGACCUUAAUGAUUCUAUGAUUUUAUGAUUCUCUAUGUCUUACGAAUUUAAGAAGAUAUCCAUAUUUGAAUACAUUUUCUCUGAGCCCAAAUAAGGAUCAAAGUAUGCCAGAUGUAUCUAAGUCCCUAGAGUGUUUGUGAUGCUUUCUACUUCACCACUGAGACUGAGAAAAGAGAAACUGAGAAACUUUCCAUGAGAAAUAUAACCUGUAUUUUAAGCCAUUAAUCUUACUCCUACAUUUUAUUGUAGGGAACUGAAACAAAUGUAAGUCUUUGAUUAUUUUUAAGUAUAUUUUCCUCACUCUGUCCUUACCUAAACUUCAUUUACAGAAAGCUGUAUCCAAGGAUGAUUAUAUGGAUUUAAUCCAAUGAAAUUAACAAGGACUGUUCUACUAACAAGGACUGUUCUACUCUGCUAAUAAUGUUUUGUGUUGGCUGGCAGUAUUGGUUUGCUUGUUUUAACUCAGCUUUCAUUCAGAGCAAAAAUUAGGUAUUCUGUGCUUGUCUUUCUCACAUUUGUGCUCUGAGUCUUGUGUUAUCAUAAAGCUAUUAUACUACCUGUGUUGAGUAGGAAAAAUCAGAAUAAUUCACAGAUUUUUUUAAAUAGUGUUUUUUAGCAUUAAAAAAAAAAAAAAAAGACAUAAAAGAUAUAUUUAGUUAUGUUACAGGGUUUCCUCUCAUGGUGAAAGUUUAUAUCUUAGGAUAGAUAAAAUAAGGAGUAGUAGCCUAUGAUACCUGGAAAAAAAAAAAAAAAAAAAAAAAAAGGCAUUGCUGAAGGAUUUAAUGUUUUUAACAAUGACACUAAAAUUGUGGGUGUAAAAGGUUCCAGAUAUAAUUUUAUCUGGAAAGUGGUUGUGAUGUCUAAUGUGAUAAUUCUUCAAAACAAGAUUAAGGAAAGAUGCUAUUUCUUCCUAACUCUGUAAGAGAGGGAUAGGAAAUGUAUACACAGGAUGACUGCAGCAAGUUGCAAAUGAUAUAUGAAACAAGAAACCCUGCUAAUAGCACAAAGGAAAAAUCUACAGUUUGUAUUGUGUAGUGGCUGUGGCACUAUGUAUUGUUUGUUGUAGCAUUGAACUUGAUCAGACUGAUCACAGAUUUACAGAAUUUAAAAAAAAAAAAAAAAAAAAGAAAAGAAAAAACAAAAACAAAAACAAAGUAAAACAUAUUCAGUGAGUUUUUCAUUUUCUUAUUUUGGCCUUCCUUUUUCAUAAAGCAAUUGUUAUCUUUUGGUGGAUCGUUAUAUCACUAUGUCGUGGUUCCGCUCGAGUGGGCAGCCGAGCUCCACCACAGCCGCUCUCUCACUCCCCCUCCUCAAAGAGGAAUGGGGAGAAAAUAUGUGAAAAGGGCUCAAGGAUUGAGAUAAGGACGAGAAAAUCAUGCAAUAAUUAUUGUAACGGGCAAAACAGACUCAUCAUAAGAAGAUAGAUAGUAAGAUUUAUUGCUCAUUACUAACAAGCUAGAGAAGUGAGAAACAAAGGAAAGAAACCAAAAGCACC